AACAUUCGCUUUGAUGAGAUGAUCAAAGCGUUUGGGUUUACACAGACUUAUGGAGAAGCCUGUGUUUACAAGAAAGUGAGUGGGAGCUCUGUAGCAUUUCUCAUAUUAUAUGUGGAUGACAUACUAUUGAUGGGAAAUGAUAUAGAAUUCUUGGAAAGUAUAAAGGCCUAUUUGAAUAAGUGUUUUUCAAUGAAGGACCUUGGAGAAGCUGCUUAUAUAUUAGGCAUCAAGAUCUAUAGAGAUAGAUCAAGACGCCUCAUAGGUCUUUCACAGAGUACGUACCUUGACAAGAUAUUGAAGAAGUUCAAUAUGGAUCAGUCCAAGAAGGGGUUCUUGCCUGUAUUGCAAGGUGUGCAAUUG
RNAcentral lists this ribosomal RNA (360 nucleotides) under Triticum aestivum (bread wheat). RNAcentral's name for it is "partial small subunit ribosomal RNA". Lineage: Eukaryota; Viridiplantae; Streptophyta; Magnoliopsida; Poales; Poaceae. The record is from RNAcentral.